UCGUGCUAGACGGGGAAGUAGCGGUGCCCUGUACCCGCAAUCCGCUGUAGCGGGGUCGAAUUCCCGUCUGAGGAUUGAUCUUGUAGAGUCUGGUUUAGGUAAGUGGUGUUGACGAUUGGGUCUCACGCAAUAGGAGUCCAUGAACCCCGUCAGGUCCGGAAGGAAGCAGCGGUAAGUGGAUCCCCCUAUGUGCCGUGAGGAAGCCUGAUCCGAGCUAACUGCUUAAAUAACGUCUGGAAGGUCACUUUCGAAGAUGGGUGCACGA
This 265-nucleotide signal recognition particle RNA is filed under the name Bacillota bacterium. RNAcentral's name for it is "Firmicutes bacterium (anaerobic digester metagenome) signal recognition particle sRNA large type". It matches the Rfam family "Bacterial large signal recognition particle RNA". Rfam says of the family: The signal recognition particle (SRP) is a universally conserved ribonucleoprotein involved in the co-translational targeting of proteins to membranes. Archaeal SRP consists of a 7S RNA and homologues of the eukaryotic SRP19 and SRP54 proteins. Lineage: Bacteria; Bacillati; Bacillota. The record is from RNAcentral.